This 70-nucleotide transfer RNA is filed under the name Trachypithecus phayrei (Phayre's leaf monkey). RNAcentral's name for it is "tRNA-Glu". It matches the Rfam family "tRNA". Rfam says of the family: Transfer RNA (tRNA) molecules are approximately 80 nucleotides in length. Their secondary structure includes four short double-helical elements and three loops (D, anti-codon, and T loops). Further hydrogen bonds mediate the characteristic L-shaped molecular structure. tRNAs have two regions of fundamental functional importance: the anti-codon, which is responsible for specific mRNA codon recognition, and the 3' end, to which the tRNAs corresponding amino acid is attached (by aminoacyl-tRNA synthetases). tRNAs cope with the degeneracy of the genetic code in two manners: having more than one tRNA (with a specific anti-codon) for a particular amino acid; and 'wobble' base-pairing, i.e. permitting non-standard base-pairing at the 3rd anti-codon position. The record is from RNAcentral. Lineage: Eukaryota; Metazoa; Chordata; Mammalia; Primates; Cercopithecidae.
GUUUUUGUAGUUGAAGUACAACGAUGGUUUUUCAUAUCAUUAGUCAUGGUUGAAGUCCAUGCAAGAACGA